This 360-nucleotide ribosomal RNA is filed under the name uncultured fungus. Its description in RNAcentral is "eukaryotic LSU rRNA". The stretch from base 1 to 141 matches the Rfam family "5.8S ribosomal RNA". The record is from RNAcentral. Lineage: Eukaryota; Fungi.
GGAUCUCUUGGUUCUGGCAUCGAUGAAGAACGCAGCGAAAUGCGAUAAGUAAUGUGAAUUGCAGAAUUCAGUGAAUCAUCGAAUCUUUGAACGCACAUUGCGCCCUCUGGUAUUCCGGAGGGUAUGCCUGUUCGAGCGUCAUUUCAACCCUCAAGCAUUGCUUGGUGUUGGGGCACUGCUUUUGACGAAGCAGGCCCUGAAAUCUAGUGGCGAGCUCGCCAGGACCCCGAGCGCAGUAGUUAAACCCUCGCUCUGGAAGGCCCUGGCGGUGCCCUGCCGUUAAACCCCCAACUUCUGAAAAUUUGACCUCGGAUCAGGUAGGAAUACCCGCUGAACUUAAGCAUAUCAAUAAGCGGAGGA